AGUUAUUUAUAGCAGCAAGAGCUCUCCUACAGUAGGGCACAGUGGCUUCCUUCCUCCUCCUUCUCAUUUCUCUAAAAUGGAACAUAUUUUUGUUUUCCUGGUGGGAAAAACUGCCAGAUCAAUGAUUUACACCUCUCUCUCCCUCCCUCCCUCCCUCUCUCUCUCUCUCUCUCUCUCUCUCUCUCUCUCUCCAUAUUCUCUUCUGCCUCUUUCACCUUCUGAACAGUCUCUGGAUUCUCCCAGAAUAUAAUCCAGGUAUUGCCACCAACUUUUGUGUCUCAAACCAGAUCGCUCAACUUCCCGGAGCCUCUGGCCGCCCACAGGGCUGUGCUUGGUCCCCCCGCCACCCCCCAACCUUGUGGCCAAUUUCUAAGGGAGACUUGAAGGAGGGCUUUUGUGUCUGUUCCCUACUUUCCAGCCCUCCCCUGCCUGCGGGAUGAGCUCUUGGGAGCAGAGGCUAUAAUCAGAGGGACAUCUUCCCCUCCUUGGCCCACUCCCUGCCCUGUGAUCUCCAUCUCAGACAAAGAUAUACCAUCCCCCCCAAACUGCCUGGCCUAGGACCUCGGGGUCCUCUUGGCUCUUUUGUCUUCCUGCCCCCCUCCCCACAUCUAGUGGGCUCUUCCUCCCUCCCUAUGGUAGUGAAGGGACCGGGCAGCGCAGCCUGUGCCUGCAGAUUCUGUUGCUAAGGAAACCACUUCCUUGGUUACCAGCCUGGGUACCAUUUGUCUCACUGUGUCUGCAUCCCGCCGAGUCGCCCCCGCUCCCCAGGAUGAGAGGACGGCAGGGGUGGGCGAGAGCCCAGGAUCCAGAGGCAGGGUGUAGAGACAGAGAUGGAGAGGAGACCACGGGGACGGGGCGAUUG
This 862-nucleotide long non-coding RNA is filed under the name Marmota monax (woodchuck). The record is from RNAcentral. Lineage: Eukaryota; Metazoa; Chordata; Mammalia; Rodentia; Sciuridae.